UUAAGCGACUAAGCGUACACGGUGGAUGCCCUGGCAGUCAGAGGCGAUGAAGGACGUGCUAAUCUACGAUAAGCGUCGGUAAGGUGAUAUGAACCGUUAUAACCGGCGAUUUCCGAAUGGGGAAACCCAGUGUGAUUCGUCACACUAUCAUUAACUGAAUCCAUAGGUUAAUGAGGCGAACCGGGGGAACUGAAACAUCUAAGUACCCCGAGGAAAAGAAAUCAACCGAGAUUCCCCCAGUAGCGGCGAGCGAACGGGGAGCAGCCCAGAGCCUGAAUCAGUGUGUGUGUUAGUGGAAGCGUCUGGAAAGGCGCGCGAUACAGGGUGACAGCCCCGUACACAAAAAUGCACAUGCUGUGAGCUCGAUGAGUAGGGCGGGACACGUGGUAUCCUGUCUGAAUAUGGGGGGACCAUCCUCCAAGGCUAAAUACUCCUGACUGACCGAUAGUGAACCAGUACCGUGAGGGAAAGGCGAAAAGAACCCCGGCGAGGGGAGUGAAAAAGAACCUGAAACCGUGUACGUACAAGCAGUGGGAGCACGCUUAGGCGUGUGACUGCGUACCUUUUGUAUAAUGGGUCAGCGACUUAUAUUCUGUAGCAAGGUUAACCGAAUAGGGGAGCCGAAGGGAAACCGAGUCUUAACUGGGCGUUAAGUUGCAGGGUAUAGACCCGAAACCCGGUGAUCUAGCCAUGGGCAGGUUGAAGGUUGGGUAACACUAACUGGAGGACCGAACCGACUAAUGUUGAAAAAUUAGCGGAUGACUUGUGGCUGGGGGUGAAAGGCCAAUCAAACCGGGAGAUAGCUGGUUCUCCCCGAAAGCUAUUUAGGUAGCGCCUCGUGAAUUCAUCUCCGGGGGUAGAGCACUGUUUCGGCAAGGGGGUCAUCCCGACUUACCAACCCGAUGCAAACUGCGAAUACCGGAGAAUGUUAUCACGGGAGACACACGGCGGGUGCUAACGUCCGUCGUGAAGAGGGAAACAACCCAGACCGCCAGCUAAGGUCCCAAAGUCAUGGUUAAGUGGGAAACGAUGUGGGAAGGCCCAGACAGCCAGGAUGUUGGCUUAGAAGCAGCCAUCAUUUAAAGAAAGCGUAAUAGCUCACUGGUCGAGUCGGCCUGCGCGGAAGAUGUAACGGGGCUAAACCAUGCACCGAAGCUGCGGCAGCGACGCUUAUGCGUUGUUGGGUAGGGGAGCGUUCUGUAAGCCUGUGAAGGUGUGCUGUGAGGCAUGCUGGAGGUAUCAGAAGUGCGAAUGCUGACAUAAGUAACGAUAAAGCGGGUGAAAAGCCCGCUCGCCGGAAGACCAAGGGUUCCUGUCCAACGUUAAUCGGGGCAGGGUGAGUCGACCCCUAAGGCGAGGCCGAAAGGCGUAGUCGAUGGGAAACAGGUUAAUAUUCCUGUACUUGGUGUUACUGCGAAGGGGGGACGGAGAAGGCUAUGUUGGCCGGGCGACGGUUGUCCCGGUUUAAGCGUGUAGGCUGGUUUUCCAGGCAAAUCCGGAAAAUCAAGGCUGAGGCGUGAUGACGAGGCACUACGGUGCUGAAGCAACAAAUGCCCUGCUUCCAGGAAAAGCCUCUAAGCAUCAGGUAACAUCAAAUCGUACCCCAAACCGACACAGGUGGUCAGGUAGAGAAUACCAAGGCGCUUGAGAGAACUCGGGUGAAGGAACUAGGCAAAAUGGUGCCGUAACUUCGGGAGAAGGCACGCUGAUAUGUAGGUGAAGUCCCUUGCGGAUGGAGCUGAAAUCAGUCGAAGAUACCAGCUGGCUGCAACUGUUUAUUAAAAACACAGCACUGUGCAAACACGAAAGUGGACGUAUACGGUGUGACGCCUGCCCGGUGCCGGAAGGUUAAUUGAUGGGGUUAGCGGUAACGCGAAGCUCUUGAUCGAAGCCCCGGUAAACGGCGGCCGUAACUAUAACGGUCCUAAGGUAGCGAAAUUCCUUGUCGGGUAAGUUCCGACCUGCACGAAUGGCGUAAUGAUGGCCAGGCUGUCUCCACCCGAGACUCAGUGAAAUUGAACUCGCUGUGAAGAUGCAGUGUACCCGCGGCAAGACGGAAAGACCCCGUGAACCUUUACUAUAGCUUGACACUGAACAUUGAGCCUUGAUGUGUAGGAUAGGUGGGAGGCUUUGAAGUGUGGACGCCAGUCUGCAUGGAGCCGACCUUGAAAUACCACCCUUUAAUGUUUGAUGUUCUAACGUUGACCCGUGAUCCGGGUUGCGGACAGUGUCUGGUGGGUAGUUUGACUGGGGCGGUCUCCUCCUAAAGAGUAACGGAGGAGCACGAAGGUUGGCUAAUCCUGGUCGGACAUCAGGAGGUUAGUGCAAUGGCAUAAGCCAGCUUGACUGCGAGCGUGACGGCGCGAGCAGGUGCGAAAGCAGGUCAUAGUGAUCCGGUGGUUCUGAAUGGAAGGGCCAUCGCUCAACGGAUAAAAGGUACUCCGGGGAUAACAGGCUGAUACCGCCCAAGAGUUCAUAUCGACGGCGGUGUUUGGCACCUCGAUGUCGGCUCAUCACAUCCUGGGGCUGAAGUAGGUCCCAAGGGUAUGGCUGUUCGCCAUUUAAAGUGGUACGCGAGCUGGGUUUAGAACGUCGUGAGACAGUUCGGUCCCUAUCUGCCGUGGGCGCUGGAGAACUGAGGGGGGCUGCUCCUAGUACGAGAGGACCGGAGUGGACGCAUCACUGGUGUUCGGGUUGUCAUGCCAAUGGCACUGCCCGGUAGCUAAAUGCGGAAGAGAUAAGUGCUGAAAGCAUCUAAGCACGAAACUUGCCCCGAGAUGAGUUCUCCCUGACCCUUUAAGGGUCCUGAAGGAACGUUGAAGACGACGACGUUGAUAGGCCGGGUGUGUAAGCGCAGCGAUGCGUUGAGCUAACCGGUACUAAUGAACCGUGAGGCUUAACCUU
RNAcentral lists this ribosomal RNA (2904 nucleotides) under Escherichia coli 3-373-03_S1_C3. RNAcentral's name for it is "bacterial LSU rRNA". It matches the Rfam family "Bacterial large subunit ribosomal RNA". Lineage: Bacteria; Pseudomonadati; Pseudomonadota; Gammaproteobacteria; Enterobacterales; Enterobacteriaceae. The record is from RNAcentral.